GAUGAACGCUAGCUACAGGCUUAACACAUGCAAGUCGAGGGGCAGCACAGUGUAGCAAUACAGUGGGUGGCGACCGGCGCACGGGUGCGUAACGCGUAUCCAACCUUCCCGUUACUCAGGGAUAGCCUUCCGAAAGGGAGAUUAAUACCUGAUGGUGUUCAAAUUCCGCAUGUUAUUUGAACUAAAGAUUUAUCGGUAACGGAUGGGGAUGCGUGACAUUAGGUAGAUGGCGGGGUAACGGCCCACCAUGCCUACGAUGUCUAGGGGUUCUGAGAGGAAGGUCCCCCACACUGGAACUGAGACACGGUCCAGACUCCUACGGGAGGCAGCAGUGAGGAAUAUUGGUCAAUGGUCGGAAGACUGAACCAGCCAAGUAGCGUGAAGGAUGAAGGUUCUAUGGAUUGUAAACUUCUUUUGUCUGAGGGUAAAAAAGCGGUCGUGUCCGUUCUUGCAAGUAUCAGACGAAUAAGCAUCGGCUAACUCCGUG
This 487-nucleotide ribosomal RNA is filed under the name uncultured bacterium. RNAcentral describes it as "bacterial SSU rRNA". It matches the Rfam family "Bacterial small subunit ribosomal RNA", at positions 28 to 507 of the family's 1533-position model. The record is from RNAcentral.